RNAcentral lists this long non-coding RNA (653 nucleotides) under Equus caballus (horse). RNAcentral's name for it is "lncRNA (ENSECAG00000047133.1)". Lineage: Eukaryota; Metazoa; Chordata; Mammalia; Perissodactyla; Equidae. The record is from RNAcentral.
GCGGGCCCGGCGCUGGAGCGGGCGGCGUGGUCCGCCCGGGGAAGGGUAUUCUGUGUUCCUGACUUGCAUUUUGGUUUAUUCCGGUGCUCGAGGGCAGCCGUUGAUUGUGAAUGUUUUAGUAAUCCUAAAAUAGAACCGAGUAGUUCUGGGAGAGGGGUAUAAGGAGUUAGUGUUGAAUGGAUGCAGAGUUUCUUUUGGGGAAGAUGAACAAAUUCUGGAGAUGGAUGGUGGACACGGUGCGCAACAAUGUGAACGGGUUAAUGCCUCUGCGCUGCACGCUGAAAAACGGCUAACCUGGAAGAUUAGCCCUGAGCUAACUACUGCCAAUCCUCUUUUUGCUGAGGAAGACUGGCCCUGAGCUAACAUCCGUGCCCAUCUUCCUCUACUUCAUAUGUGGGACGCCUACCACAGCAUGGCUUGACAAGCAGUGCCAUGUCCACACCCGGGAUCCGAACCGGCAAACCCUGGGCUGCUGAGAAGUGCAAUGUGCGAACUUAACUGCUGCGCCACUGGGCCGGCCCUUGCCUUUCUUAUUUGAUGUUAUAUUUCAAGGCAGGAAUUGCAGAAUGGAUACUCGAGAGGCCCUGCCUGAGCGAGAUCUUACGGUGUCACAGGAGGAUUUGGUUUCACGACCUUCACAGCAUUAAGUGAGA